AGACCCGACACACAGCGUGUGUGGCAUUCGGAAAUUUUUACAAGUCCAAGUGCAUGGUCAGGUAGGAAGGGGAGCGAAAAAAUGACACUUGAAAACACAUGAACGCAUCCAUUCUGCGCGUCGUUUGUGUUUUCGCUAACAGGGCUUAAAUUUACUUUGGUUUUAACGCUGCUAUCGUCAACCUGUGUUUAUUAAACAAAAAUUGGUGCUGUGUAUCGUGAUAGUGGAAUCCUCCAAUAAAUACAGUUGGAAGAGCGGCAGUUUUAAGCGACGUGUGAAUAAGCGCUACGAAGAACUGCGAAAAAAACUGUUCGGCGUCGAUCAAGGCACCAACAAAAGUGACAGUGCACCGGGUCCUAGCAACCGUCCACAUCUAAUUGAUGUGUCCCGGUUGCAGGAUACCGUUCACAAUGAAAGUGAAGAAAGUGACAGUGAAGAUAGAUUUAUACAUAGAUAUUUAACAUUUUAUUCUUUUUAAUUCUUUUUAGAAGGAGGCCUCACUCUGUCGUUCAGAGCGGGGUUUUACGAUUGCACGUAAGAAUUCAAAUUCGUAUGUAAGUAAAGUAAAUCAUCAUUAAGUAAGUAAGUAAGUAAAUCAUCACAUGAAUCAAAGCAUCAUAAAGUUUCAGGAACAUUUCAUACCUUAAUCUAUCGUACCUAACCUAAUACUGCAUUGAAAUCAGAACUAAUUAAUUGUUUGUUCCGUCUCACAGCUCUCAUCAAAACUGUUUUAAAAAAGUCUUCCGUGCCCUUAAUUGUAAAAGAAGGAUCGUACUGCCAAACACAACAGUAGAAUAGGUUCACCGUCCUUCUAUAUCUUUUAAAUGCUGGUUUCUUUUCAUUCUCAUGGUUGGCGUGGCCGGACCAAGAAAAGUGUGUAAGGAAUUCCCUCGUAAAAAAAUGGUCGACUAUUUGGAAACACACAUCUCGGCCGUUUUCCUGUGUUCCUGUGAGCGCUUCCAAGACCACUAGUCUACCGUCAAUGUUACGAAUUGUCUCCAGUAUCUGUGUGAGCCGGUGCAGCACCCUUUCCGAGACAUUGUGUUCCAUCAUGCUUGAUCCUGAUACACAGAAUAGAGUGAAAUGCUUCCAAGAAUCGCCUACGCACCAAACUACGCUUCGAACAGAAACCCGGCUGGAGCCACCGAGCAAAACAAAAACAAUGUGUACGUCACAUCGCGAUGCAACUACCCUCCACCAACGCACUUCACACCCACCAACGCAGCAUCGCGCUAGGAAUGCACGAAUAGGUGGGGAAGAGAGAGUCGGCAAGCGAGCGAAAGAGACACAAUA
Anopheles cruzii is the source of this 1293-nucleotide long non-coding RNA. RefSeq lists it as uncharacterized. The transcript has 3 exons. NCBI's taxonomy places the organism in Eukaryota, Metazoa, Arthropoda, Insecta, Diptera, Culicidae. The record is from RefSeq and is a predicted model, not a curated record.